AAAACGGAGAGUUUGAUCCUGGCUCAGGAUGAACGCUGGCGGUAUGCUUAACACAUGCAAGUCGAACGGUGUCUUCGGACAUAGUGGCGGACGGGUGA
RNAcentral lists this ribosomal RNA (98 nucleotides) under Nostoc punctiforme FACHB-252. Its description in RNAcentral is "partial 16S ribosomal RNA". It matches the Rfam family "Bacterial small subunit ribosomal RNA", at positions 1 to 109 of the family's 1533-position model. Lineage: Bacteria; Bacillati; Cyanobacteriota; Cyanophyceae; Nostocales; Nostocaceae. The record is from RNAcentral.